Molecule: non-coding RNA, 3530 nt
Organism: Xyrichtys novacula (pearly razorfish)
Lineage: Eukaryota; Metazoa; Chordata; Actinopteri; Labriformes; Labridae
Source: the annotation of a GenBank genome assembly
AACAAAUAACAGCAGAGCCUGAAGUAAAGUCCGGAAAUCGUUUGUGUAGUCGGCUGAAUGGUAGAGAAAUCUCAGCGUUAAGUUUUUAAUGAUCCAGCGGUGGAGUGUGGAUGAGUGCAUUUGGCUGAGCACUCUGACUGUAUAAAGCCGCAGGACCAUAGACGAACUUCUCAACCGGUGGGUCCUGACCUAAAAGUGGGUCGGGGACACAUUCUGGAUGGGUCGCGAACAGCUGGUCAAAAAAGUAAAUAUUUAAAGCUGAUCUGAUGUUUGACAUGUCUUUUAUUUUGAAAAAUAGCUUCUUUUAAAAGGCACGCGUCACUUCGUGGUCCUCCUCGGUUUCUUAUUAAUGUGGCCUGAACGCAGUAAAAAUACAUGGUCUUUUUUUUGUGUGCAAUUUGAUAUUUGAUAUUUUCUCUAUAUGCAACUUUAGUAGUUGUUGUCCUCAGUUCAUGUACUCUAAAAUGCACUUAAUAAAAUGGGUAUAUUUAUGUUAAAGAUUUGAGUCUUUAAAUUAUUAUUAUUUUUAAUAAAAAGUAGGUCGUGACUUAAGGACCAUGGGAAACUAUUUUACUUGUUUAUUUAUUUUUUAUUGCUAUAUUCAAAUUUUGUGCUUUAUGUAAAGUGUCUUUGAGUGUCAUGAAAAGCGCUAUACAAAUAAAAUAAAUGAUUAUUAUUAUUAUUAUUAUUAUUAUUAUUAUUAUUAUUAAUAAAAUGUGGGUCCCAGAGUGAGAAAAGUUGAGAACCACUACUUUAGGGAACCAGCUGCAAUAUAAGCUGUAAGAAUCUUUUUUUGAAUGUAUGUGUAUGUGGUUUGUGAUGUUUUUGCAGACAGCCUCAAGUGGACACUCAAGGAACUGCAGUUUGUUGCACUUCAGCGUCAUCUUCAUUCCUGAAGACUGGAGGUCGCCGCAUCUGCAACCCCGACCAAAACACCGAGCAAAACACGAUAGAGGCUGAGGGACAGGUUCAGUCAGAGAACCUCAAACUCCUGCUGGAGGUGGACAGGUCACGUCUCCCAGCAGGACAUCAGAAGGAGACUCUGAGGGUGCAGACAUGCCCUGAAGCAAACCCUACGUGGACCUGAUGAAGCAACAAUGAGAGUGGGAGGAGACCAGGUCCCGUCUGCAGGUACAGCACCAGUGAAGCAUGAACAGAAGCAGACCAGAACUGACCUUGAAAACAUAAAAAUGUAGGUGUGGGAGGAAGACCUGCCUGAACCAGACUCAACAGGAGCUGGAAAAACUGCAGCUCCAGUGGCAGCAGAUGCCGAUAAAUAACAUCAGUAUAAAUAAAAAUUAACACCCUCUAUCCUUAAUUAGAAUAUUGUUGCCAUGGAAACCAUACCAACCACCUCUAUAGGUAGGCGAGUCAUGUGCACCCUGCCAGGUUUCUGCUCUGCAGAACUCCAUAUUCACCAAACAUGACCCUUUACUUACAGGUGGGGUAGACAGGGAUCUGUUUAAGACGCAUCUUAUUUUGUGGUGUAUAAACAAAAAAGCUUUUAAUAUCAGUCAAUAGCUAUUAGUUAUUGAUGACAUUUGGUAAUCUAAUGAUAUCACUGUGUUCUGUUAUGUCUGUGUAGUCAACAUUUUUACAUUUUUGAGCGGCCCGCACUUUCUGACUGUAAACAAAGCCGUUCUCCAACUCCCUGACCUGAUUGGCUGUGAGGCAGUCGCCGCUCCCAUGUGUUGUGAGGCACGCUCCAUGUCCUCACAUAACAUUCACGAGCCCAAAGAAAGCUAGCGGACGGUAGAAACCAACCAGAAAGUACAGAAAAUUUUUUGAAUCCUUCUGACACAAGCAAGAAAACAAAGUAAAUACCGGAGACUCUGGCGGAAUAACAGGCGCUUAAAACGGAGGUAGACCGGACAAGAGCUAAUGAAGCUAGCAUAAACGAUGGGGACACUUCAGGAUCUUAGAGACCCUGUAACCUUUCUGCUGGACAGGUAAACCACUUUAACAAAGUAAGACAAGUGUCUGUAACAGAAGUGUUUCUUGUCAAACAGGACCUGCUGUAGCGUGUUGUAGCGCCAUCGCUAAACUGUCCUCCCUCGGGUCCUGGACUAUGUCACUUUAUUCUGGUUGUAGAAGUCCUGCAAACAUUGUGUUUGCCGGUAGUCUGUUGGCAUCUACAGUAGCACCAAUGCUUUUCACUUUCACGUUGACUGGGCCCCAUUUGUAAUUAUCUGAAGUAUUUAUCUGCAUUAUAUCUGAAUUUAAUUGGAACGAUACGAGCGAGCAGGAGUGUCUGUUUGUGGGCGGGGCUUUCUGGAGCAGAGAGGGAGGGGAGAGGAGGAGCUGAGGGGAAAACUGGUUAGGAGGGGUAGAGUUUACAUUCAAAGAUUUCUCCCCAAAACUGACACUUCCUCAUAUCCUGCCUACCCCACCUUUAAGGGACUGUAUACAGAAAUGCAUCAUUUUAAAACUCUGAAGUGCCUCGUGCUCCUGACCUUCUUUCUCUGUCGUGUUGCUGCUGUAAAGUCAUAAAAAUCAGGAACAACCUCUAUAACAUGAGGAGGUUUGUCAGUUUUUAGGUGCUGUUAGAAUCACUGAUGCACACUUUGCAUUAUUCCUCCUCUCAUUGAUUCACAAACUCCUCCAGGCUUUCAGGAGUUGUUUGCGCGCAGAGAGCAGACGUCAGAGCAGCUUUUGCAUGAGUACAGAGAAACAUCUCGUCCGUUCAGACAGCUGUCAGCUGUGUCUCUGCUGUCACUGUGUGCUUCUUCAGCACAACCGGAGCCAACACCACCUCUCCUCAGGUCUGACGAAACACAACAACCCUCUGCUGUCUCAACGAGAUGCAGCAUAUCAUUAAAAGACAGCGCAGGCUCUCACAAAGACCCGACAUGGGCCGACAUGAUUAAAGGGUUUUACACAGAGAAAAAAGAAAGAGAAGAAAAGAAAGAAAGAAAGAGGGUUUGUAGGAGAAAAGAAAUUAUGAGUCUCUGCUCUGCUUGUGGAAAGAUCACAAAAGAGGUUCAGGAGCAUCUCUAAAUCUGCUCCAAGCUUCAAUCUAGGCCUUCUUCUCCGAUCAGAAAGAGGACACUGUAUGAAAAGGGGAGUUAUUCGAACAAACCGUCAAAUAAUGGCUGACCUGUUUCUGCUGAAUGCCACUUGGUUCAGAUGUAGGAAAGAAACGAGGGAAGAGGAGCGGGAAUCACGUGCUCUUAAUUUCUCUUCUUUUCUCCUGCAUGUGAACAAAUGAGCUGCAGGGGACACAGGGAGGGGGAGCGCCGCGAUUAAGUGUUAAAUAAAAUAUGGCCAGCUGACGUGAAUUGAUCACAGAGAAAUGUGGGACAGAGGAAAGCGAUUCUUCAAGAGUAGCAGGCGUAGCCGAGAAAGACCCCCACAGGGGCAGCGGCUGCCUGCUCUCCAGUACUUAAUGCAACAUCAUCAUUGGUCCUUGUCACGUAAACUUAAUUACACACAAUCUUCCAGCACCUUGAUAAAGGCAUGAAUAUCUUGUUGUUUGCAGUCAAUUUUGGAAGAGGACAAAGACACCGCCCAUGUGAGAGGGGCUCUUUAUG